RNAcentral lists this unclassified non-coding RNA (256 nucleotides) under plant metagenome. Its description in RNAcentral is "partial contains small subunit ribosomal RNA, internal transcribed spacer 1, and 5.8S ribosomal RNA". The stretch from base 1 to 54 matches the Rfam family "Eukaryotic small subunit ribosomal RNA", at positions 1778 to 1831 of the family's 1831-position model. The record is from RNAcentral.
GGAAGUAAAAGUCGUAACAAGAUUUCCGUAGGUGAACCUGCGGAAGGAUCAUUAAAGUUAUAGUCCCCCGGCCCUCUGGGCUGGGGUCUUCUAUACCACCCUUUGUUCAUUACACCUUUGUUGCUUUGGCAGGCCUGCCCUCGGGCUGCUGGCUCCGGCCGGCUCGCGUCUGCCAGAGGACCUAAACUCUGUUUGUAUAUGAAGUCUGAGUACUAUAUAAUAGUUAAAACUUUCAACAACGGAUCUCUUGGUUCUG